Brassica oleracea var. oleracea is the source of this 282-nucleotide long non-coding RNA. RefSeq lists it as uncharacterized. Lineage: Eukaryota; Viridiplantae; Streptophyta; Magnoliopsida; Brassicales; Brassicaceae. The record is from RefSeq and is a predicted model, not a curated record. The transcript is spliced from 4 exons.
UGCUCAAAAUUCGGUUUGCUAUAUAUGUACAGAGAAAGUUCCAGAUCACAGUUCCGGAGACCUUGCUUGUGAUUCGUAUGAUCUUUACAAGGAGGAUGUCAAAUUACUGAAAAGAAUGAAGGCUCAAGCCUACCGGCUCUCAAUAGCAUGGUCUAGGGUCUUACCAAAGGGAAGAUUGAUAGGAGGGAUAGACGAAAACGGGAUCAAAUACUACAAUAACCUCAUCAAUGAGUUAAAAGCAAAUGGCAUAGAACCGUACGUAACAAUCUUUCACUGGGAUGU